AAAUUGAAGAGUUUGAUCAUGGCUCAGAUUGAACGCUGGCGGCAGGCCUAACACAUGCAAGUCGAACGGUAACAGGAAGAAGCUUGCUUCUUUGCUGACGAGUGGCGGACGGGUGAGUAAUGUCUGGGAAACUGCCUGAUGGAGGGGGAUAACUACUGGAAACGGUAGCUAAUACCGCAUAACGUCGCAAGACCAAAGAGGGGGACCUUCGGGCCUCUUGCCAUCGGAUGUGCCCAGAUGGGAUUAGCUUGUUGGUGGGGUAACGGCUCACCAAGGCGACGAUCCCUAGCUGGUCUGAGAGGAUGACCAGCCACACUGGAACUGAGACACGGUCCAGACUCCUACGGGAGGCAGCAGUGGGGAAUAUUGCACAAUGGGCGCAAGCCUGAUGCAGCCAUGCCGCGUGUAUGAAGAAGGCCUUCGGGUUGUAAAGUACUUUCAGCGGGGAGGAAGGGAGUAAAGUUAAUACCUUUGCUCAUUGACGUUACCCGCAGAAGAAGCACCGGCUAACUCCGUGCCAGCAGCCGCGGUAAUACGGAGGGUGCAAGCGUUAAUCGGAAUUACUGGGCGUAAAGCGCACGCAGGCGGUUUGUUAAGUCAGAUGUGAAAUCCCCGGGCUCAACCUGGGAACUGCAUCUGAUACUGGCAAGCUUGAGUCUCGUAGAGGGGGGUAGAAUUCCAGGUGUAGCGGUGAAAUGCGUAGAGAUCUGGAGGAAUACCGGUGGCGAAGGCGGCCCCCUGGACGAAGACUGACGCUCAGGUGCGAAAGCGUGGGGAGCAAACAGGAUUAGAUACCCUGGUAGUCCACGCCGUAAACGAUGUCGACUUGGAGGUUGUGCCCUUGAGGCGUGGCUUCCGGAGCUAACGCGUUAAGUCGACCGCCUGGGGAGUACGGCCGCAAGGUUAAAACUCAAAUGAAUUGACGGGGGCCCGCACAAGCGGUGGAGCAUGUGGUUUAAUUCGAUGCAACGCGAAGAACCUUACCUGGUCUUGACAUCCACGGAAGUUUUCAGAGAUGAGAAUGUGCCUUCGGGAACCGUGAGACAGGUGCUGCAUGGCUGUCGUCAGCUCGUGUUGUGAAAUGUUGGGUUAAGUCCCGCAACGAGCGCAACCCUUAUCCUUUGUUGCCAGCGGUCCGGCCGGGAACUCAAAGGAGACUGCCAGUGAUAAACUGGAGGAAGGUGGGGAUGACGUCAAGUCAUCAUGGCCCUUACGACCAGGGCUACACACGUGCUACAAUGGCGCAUACAAAGAGAAGCGACCUCGCGAGAGCAAGCGGACCUCAUAAAGUGCGUCGUAGUCCGGAUUGAGUCUGCAACUCGACUCCAUGAAGUCGGAAUCGCUAGUAAUCGUGGAUCAGAAUGCCACGGUGAAUACGUUCCCGGGCCUUGUACACACCGCCCGUCACACCAUGGGAGUGGGUUGCAAAAGAAGUAGGUAGCUUAACCUUCGGGAGGGCGCUUACCACUUUGUGAUUCAUGACUGGGGUGAAGUCGUAACAAGGUAACCGUAGGGGAACCUGCGGUUGGAUCACCUCCUUACCUUAAAGAAGC
This 1553-nucleotide ribosomal RNA is filed under the name Escherichia coli. RNAcentral describes it as "bacterial SSU rRNA". It matches the Rfam family "Bacterial small subunit ribosomal RNA". Lineage: Bacteria; Pseudomonadati; Pseudomonadota; Gammaproteobacteria; Enterobacterales; Enterobacteriaceae. The record is from RNAcentral.